AUUGAACGCUGGCGGCAGGCCUAACACAUGCAAGUCGAGCGGAUGAAGGGAGCUUGCUCCUGGAUUCAGCGGCGGACGGGUGAGUAAUGCCUAGGAAUCUGCCUGGUAGUGGGGGAUAACGUCCGGAAACGGGCGCUAAUACCGCAUACGUCCUGAGGGAGAAAGUGGGGGAUCUUCGGACCUCACGCUAUCAGAUGAGCCUAGGUCGGAUUAGCUAGUUGGUGGGGUAAAGGCCUACCAAGGCGACGAUCCGUAACUGGUCUGAGAGGAUGAUCAGUCACACUGGAACUGAGACACGGUCCAGACUCCUACGGGAGGCAGCAGUGGGGAAUAUUGGACCAAGGGCGAAAGCCUGAUCCAGCCAUGCCGCGUGUGUGAAGAAGGUCUUCGGAUUGUAAAGCACUUUAAGUUGGGAGGAAGGGCAGUAAGUUAAUACCUUGCUGUUUUGACGUUACCAACAGAAUAAGCACCGGCUAACUUCGUG
RNAcentral lists this ribosomal RNA (484 nucleotides) under uncultured bacterium. RNAcentral describes it as "partial 16S ribosomal RNA". It matches the Rfam family "Bacterial small subunit ribosomal RNA", at positions 30 to 507 of the family's 1533-position model. The record is from RNAcentral.